Molecule: ribosomal RNA, 272 nt
Filed under: uncultured Blautia sp.
Lineage: Bacteria; Bacillati; Bacillota; Clostridia; Lachnospirales; Lachnospiraceae
Description: partial 16S ribosomal RNA
Rfam family: Bacterial small subunit ribosomal RNA
Source: RNAcentral
AAGCUUCGGCAGAUUUAGCUGGUUUCUAGUGGCGGACGGGUGAGUAACGCGUGGGUAACCUGCCUUGUACAGGGGGAUAACAGUCAGAAAUGACUGCUGAUACCGCAUAAGCGCACAGGACCGCAUGGUCCAGUGUGAAAAACUCCGGUGGUAUGAGAUGGACCCGCGUUGGAUUAGCUAGUUGGCAGGGUAACGGCCUACCAAGGCGACGAUCCAUAGCCGGCCUGAGAGGGUGGACGGCCACAUUGGGACUGAGACACGGCCCAGACUCC